RNAcentral lists this microRNA precursor (105 nucleotides) under Marmota monax (woodchuck). Lineage: Eukaryota; Metazoa; Chordata; Mammalia; Rodentia; Sciuridae. The record is from RNAcentral.
AUGCUAGUCACGUGGGGAUCCUGCUGGAAUCUGGAUUCUGAUUUACUAGAUAUGGAUUGAAGCCUGAGAUUCCGCAUUUCCAAUAAGCUUCCAAGUGAUGUUAGU